CGCCUUCCCCCCCCCCCACGCACGCAAGUCGCGAUCCUAAAGGCAGCUGUUCUCGCCCUCUGGCGGCCGAUCCGGGGACAGCAGCUGGAAGAGCCGCCGAAGGAGGCGGUUUUUUGCGCAAGGAAAGAAGAAGCGCCGCGUCUCCUCCCGAAGGUCCGCCCAAGGCCGGGAGGUUCCCCGAUCCUCCUCCUCCUCCUCCCUGGCCGCGCGGGUGCCUUGGGAAGCCGGGAAAGAGGAGGAGCCGAUCCCGCGGGGUGGAAAGCGCGCAACGAGGGGAGCGGAAGGCUUGCAAAACCCCUGCGGAGGAGGGCGAGCAGGCAGGGCAGGAUCGGGCCCGGGAGCGGGAGGGUUGCGUGGGUUGCGCCUCGCGGGGCUGAUGUUGCAACUUGCGUGAGCUUGCGGGAAGAAGGCAAGUGUGGACACACACACACACGCGCGCACGCACGCACAGAGAGCUUACGCGCAAGAGGCGCAGGAUCGGUGCAAAGGCUCCCGCUGCUUCGGAUCGGGACCCCCGGGAAGGUGGAGAAGUCAUGGCUGUGCCGUAUCUCAGAGCCGUACUCCUGUUGGCCCCGCUGAGCCGGGGCCAGGACUUCCCCUUCAGGGACCCCACCUUGCCCUGGGAAGAACGGCUGGACGACCUGGUGAACCGGCUGACGCUGGACGAGAUGGUGCUGCAGGUAUCAGACGGGGGCCCCUCGGUCAGGAUCGUGUCAGGAAUGAGGUGGAUGAGUUGCUCUGGGAAAAGACAACAGAGAAUUUAUUUUUUGUUUGUCGUAUUUUUAAUCCACCCUUAAAAAGAACUCAAGGCAGCUUAUCUCAUUAAAAGACAAUAUUUAAAGUUUUUUUAAAAAGCACGUGUACAAAUUACUAUAAAGGAUCAAACAAAGGCCACGCUAAAAUACAGGAAACAGAGCACUUAAGAUCCAUUCCAAGCAGUCAGAUGCAGCCACCCAUCUAAAAACCCCUCCCAAACAGACAGCCACUGAGGGGAAGCCCAUCUCAAGAGAAAGGCCUUCACCUGCUUGCAGAUAGACAGCAAAGACAGGACCAGGCUGGCUUCCAGUGGGAAGGAGUUCCAGCGUCUAAUGGAGCAGACACAAGAGAAGGCCCCUCUCCUGUGUCCCCACCAAACACACCUGGGAAGGUGGAUCAAGAGAAAGGCCUCCCCUGAUGAUCUUAACACCUGAGCAGGCUCAUCAUGGGAGUCCUUGAGAUCGCUCGGAUCCAAGCCAUUUAGCGGCUUUAUAGGUUAGAACCAUCCUUUUGAAUUGUGCCUGGAAACGGAUCGGCCGCCAGUAGAGCUGCUUAUAUCGCACGAGGGUUAGAGGUCUUAUACCCUAUCACUUGAGCUUGGAGGUCUUUUGGUGUCAGAGAAAGACGGGAGACCUGUU
This 1394-nucleotide long non-coding RNA is filed under the name Pogona vitticeps (central bearded dragon). Its description in RNAcentral is "lncRNA (ENSPVIG00000005325.1)". Lineage: Eukaryota; Metazoa; Chordata; Lepidosauria; Squamata; Agamidae. The record is from RNAcentral.